AUGGCAAAAGACUUGAAAUGCACCACGAGGAACUUAAUAGAGAAAUCAAGACAUGACAUUGGAUUGAAUGUUCACCAGGUUCCAGAGCUGGCACAGAUCCCUUCCCAGAGGUCUCCGGGAUGUAUCGUUAACAGCAUUCAAGGGGGACCUUGGGGCGUAAACACUGCUGAUUGUGAUGCAGCUGCAAAGAGUGAGUGAGACACAUGCGCAGAGCCCUGGAUGGGAGCAUGUCAGCAGCUCAGGUCCCAUCACCAAGGGGCCUGGCUUAAUGUCACAUUUUCUUCAAUCUCCAUAGCCCAUAGACUUGAUUGGCUCUUGACAUUAUACUUCCUUCUGUUUUGAUAUUAAACCUACCACACUUGAUGUGGGUCAGGGCUUUUGUUCUUGACGUUGUAUUUUCCACAUUUCCAAACUCUCCUGAUCUAGAACACAAAGGCAGUUAAUAGUAACAAAUGCCAGACUAGCUAACAGAGAUGAGCCCAUUAGAUGUUACUCAGAGCCUCAUAUCUGAAGUAUCGGCCAUGUUAUUUAGUUUGAUCAUCGCUGAGAUCAAGUGCUUGACACAAACUUUCUGGGGGAGGAGAGGUUUAUUUUGCUUAGC
RNAcentral lists this long non-coding RNA (601 nucleotides) under Mus spicilegus (steppe mouse). RNAcentral describes it as "lncRNA (ENSMSIG00000011719.1)". The record is from RNAcentral. Lineage: Eukaryota; Metazoa; Chordata; Mammalia; Rodentia; Muridae.